RNAcentral lists this ribosomal RNA (253 nucleotides) under uncultured bacterium. RNAcentral describes it as "partial 16S ribosomal RNA". It matches the Rfam family "Bacterial small subunit ribosomal RNA", at positions 524 to 776 of the family's 1533-position model. The record is from RNAcentral.
UACGUAGGGGGCCAGCGUUGCUCGGAAUUACUGGGCGUAAAGGGUCCGUAGGCGGUGUGGCAAGUCGGGAGUGAAAUCCCUGGGCUUAACCCAGGGGCUGCUUCCGAAACUGCCGUGCUAGAGUGUGAGAGAGGCGAGUGGAAUUACGGGUGUAGCGGUGAAAUGCGUAGAUAUCCGUAGGAACAUCCGAGGCGAAGGCGGCUCGCUGGAUCACAACUGACGCUGAGGGACGAAAGCUAGGGGAGCAAACAGG